AGUGAACGCUGGCGGCGUGCUUAACACAUGCAAGUCGAACGAGAACGGGUUAUAGCUUGCUAUAAUUGUCAGCUAAGUGGCGCACGGGUGAGUAAUGUAUAGGUAAUAUGCCUCUUACUAAGGGAUAACAAAUGGAAACGUUUGCUAAUACCUUAUACUCCUUAUUAACAUAAGUUAAUAAGGGAAAGAUUUAUUGGUAAGAGAUUAGCCUGUAUUGUAUCAGUUAGUUGGUGGGGUAAUGGCUUACCAAGACUAUGACACAUAACUGGUUUGAGAGGAUGAUCAGUCACACUGGAACUGAGACACGGUCCAGACUCCUACGGGAGGCAGCGGUGGGGAAUAUUGCACAAUGGACGAAAGUCUGAUGCAGCAACGCCGCGUGGAGGAUGACACAUUUCGGUGCGUAAACUCCUUUUAUAUGAGAAGAUAAUGACGGUAUUAUAUGAAUAAGCACCGGCUAACUCCGUGCCAGCAGCCGCCGUAA
RNAcentral lists this ribosomal RNA (484 nucleotides) under uncultured bacterium. RNAcentral's name for it is "partial 16S ribosomal RNA". It matches the Rfam family "Bacterial small subunit ribosomal RNA", at positions 29 to 523 of the family's 1533-position model. The record is from RNAcentral.